CAGUUGAGGAUGUAAGUUCCUUUGAGUGAAGAUUCAUUUUAUGUUUUAUCUUUUUCAAUUUGAGGAAGCUUUCAUAUGAUGAUCUAUUGUUAUCUUGCUAUCCUUAUUUUCCUUAUCCUUGGUUACAUAUCUUAGACUGUCUGCUGGACUGUUGGCCUGUAUCAACCAUGAAUUGGGUUUAAUUAGUCAGAUUUUUUUUAAUAGGUUGCAAAGACUGUG
RNAcentral lists this unclassified non-coding RNA (219 nucleotides) under Hevea brasiliensis (rubber tree). The record is from RNAcentral. Lineage: Eukaryota; Viridiplantae; Streptophyta; Magnoliopsida; Malpighiales; Euphorbiaceae.